GGAAGAAGGAGGCCCUCAUCGUGCGCAAGCAUUUUGAGGGGGCACAGGCCAGGGGGUAGCGACUGUUUAGCAAAAACACAGGGCUCUGCUAAGUCGGCUUCAAGACGACGUAUAGGGCCUGACGCCUGCCCGGUGCCUGAAGGUUAAGUGGAGGGGUGCAAGCUCUGAAAUGAAGCCCAGGUAAACGGCGGCCGUAACUAUAACGGUCCUAAGGUAGCGAAAUUCCUUGUCGGGUAAGUUCCGACCUGCACGAAUGGCAUAAUGAUGGGGGCGCUGUCUCCAGCAGAGACUCAGUGAAAUCGAAUUCGCCGUGAAGAUGCGGUGUACCCGCGGCUAGACGGAAAGACCCCGUGAACCUUUACUGCAGCUUGACAUUGAACUUUGAUCUUACUUGUGUAGGAUAGGUGGGAGGCUUUGAAACCGAGACGCUAGUUUCGGUGGAGCCAAUCUUGAAAUACCACCCUGGUAAUAUUGAGGUUCUAACUCUGUCCCGUUAUCCGGGACGAGGACCAUGUCUGGUGGGUAGUUUGACUGGGGCGGUCUCCUCCUAAAGAGUAACGGAGGAGUACGAAGGUGCGCUCAGCGUGGUCGGAAAUCACGCGUAGAGUAUAAAGGCAAAAGCGCGCUUAACUGCGAGACCCACAAGUCGAGCAGGUACGAAAGUAGGUCUUAGUGAUCCGGUGGUUCUGUAUGGAAGGGCCAUCGCUCAACGGAUAAAAGGUACUCUGGGGAUAACAGGCUGAUACCGCCCAAGAGUUCAUAUCGACGGCGGUGUUUGGCACCUCGAUGUCGGCUCAUCUCAUCCUGGGGCUGAAGCAGGUCCCAAGGGUAUGGCUGUUCGCCAUUUAAAGAGGUACGCGAGCUGGGUUUAGAACGUCGUGAGACAGUUCGGUCCCUAUCUGCCGUGGGUGUAAGGAGACUUGAGAGGAUUUGUCCCUAGUACGAGAGGACCGG
RNAcentral lists this ribosomal RNA (954 nucleotides) under Eriocheir sinensis (Chinese mitten crab). RNAcentral's name for it is "bacterial LSU rRNA". It matches the Rfam family "Bacterial large subunit ribosomal RNA", at positions 1738 to 2695 of the family's 2925-position model. The record is from RNAcentral. Lineage: Eukaryota; Metazoa; Arthropoda; Malacostraca; Decapoda; Varunidae.